GGUGGGCGCGAGAGAGCCUAGAAGCCCAUGUAGCCGCGAAUCCCGCAGCCCCAAUACACCUCCCUCCGUGCCUCCCCGCCUUUUCUGCAGAGCUCCGCCCUGGAGUGAAGGAGGAGGCGUCACCUGGAGCUCCGAAAAAAGCAGAAGAAGGCGCUUUUUAUUUAGCCAGUGUGACCCCGCCAGGGCCUUCUCGGUUGGGUGAGCACUCUCUUUGACCAGGCCAUGAAAAGAAAAAUCUGUGCGAUGCCUCCCCACAUGUCACGGGACUCUGAAUUGCCUUUGUCGUCAGAGUUUGCAGAACUUUGGGGGACCUGAGAGGGGAGUGCCCCCUGGACGGGCCACGGCUGUCUGUGGCUUAAGGGCUUUUGGAAGGGCGGAGAGAGGGAAACAGGACGUCCUAGUGGCCUGCUUCAGGGCCACCCACGGGCCCUCCCCCAACCUCUCUCUGAUCCAACUUGUUUUUCCAGCCUAGUUGGAAACUUGUGGAUGCUGUGACCUCAAGAAGACUUGGCAUUUUAUUUGGAAGAUAGGCAUCUAUUUGCAACUGUCCUGAGCCCCUAUUUUCCUCCCACCUUUCUUGGGGAAACUUGUUUUUAAGGGGUGCCACUGUUUUUGUAACAUGUUGCUCCUAGCUCUUAGCAUUCAUGGUACUGUUGUAACCGUCCAGUGGGUUCACUUUGCCUGCUAGAUAGAGCCGAUUUAUCAAGACGGGGAUUACAAUGGAGAAAGAGUAAUUCACGCAGAGCCGGCUUUGCAGAUAAAACUCUGCAAAGACAAUGUCUAGCAAUUAUAUCUCCAGUAACUCCUGUCAAGGUUUAUUGUUGCUUGUUCAUCAUUGCAGUCCUGACUACAAGUGUGAUUGCACUUUCUAUUGUUUUGUCAGAAUUUCCUGAAAAGAUACAAAGGCCCUUCUGACCAUUGGA
This 923-nucleotide long non-coding RNA is filed under the name Pan troglodytes (chimpanzee). Its description in RNAcentral is "long non-coding RNA NONPTRT003353". Lineage: Eukaryota; Metazoa; Chordata; Mammalia; Primates; Hominidae. The record is from RNAcentral.